AGCCACAGCCAUUUAACCCUGUAGCCCAAGACCAAUUACUCACUGAAGCUAAGCAGGGCAGUGCCUGGUUAGCAUCUGGAUGGAAGACCACAUGGGAAAACUAGGUUGCUGUUGGAA
Ribosomal RNA from Danio rerio (zebrafish), 117 nucleotides. The record is from Ensembl. Lineage: Eukaryota; Metazoa; Chordata; Actinopteri; Cypriniformes; Danionidae.